This 389-nucleotide ribosomal RNA is filed under the name uncultured bacterium. RNAcentral describes it as "bacterial SSU rRNA". It matches the Rfam family "Bacterial small subunit ribosomal RNA", at positions 28 to 417 of the family's 1533-position model. The record is from RNAcentral.
GACGAACGCUGGCGGCGUGCUUAACACAUGCAAGUCGAGCGGUAAGGCCCUUUCGGGGGUACGACGAGCGGCGAACGGGUGAGUAACACGUGGGUGACCUGCCCUCAGCUCUGGGAUAAGCCUGGGAAACCGGGUCUAAUACUGGAUAUGACUCCAUGACGCAUGUUGUGGGGUGGAAAGCCUUGUGCGGCUGGGGAUGGGCCCGCGGCCUAUCAGCUUGUUGGUGGGGUGAUGGCCUACCAAGGCGACGACGGGUAGCCGGCCUGAGAGGGCGACCGGCCACACUGGGACUGAGACACGGCCCAGACUCCCACGGGAGGCAGCAGUGGGGAAUCUUGCGCAAUGGGCGAAAGCCUGACGCAGCGACGCCGCGUGAGGGAUGACGGCCU